This is a long non-coding RNA of Larimichthys crocea (large yellow croaker), 2124 nucleotides long. RefSeq lists it as uncharacterized. Lineage: Eukaryota; Metazoa; Chordata; Actinopteri; Sciaenidae. The transcript has 3 exons. The record is from RefSeq and is a predicted model, not a curated record.
CGGGACAUGUAUGUCUCACCUGUCUUACCUGUGCUGAGGACUGCAUGUCUUACCUGUGCUGAGGACUGCAUGUCUUACCUGUGCUGAGGACUGCAUGUCUUACCUGUGCUGAGGACUGCAUCCUGACUGCCACGGACGGCAUCCUCGGUGGUUCCAAUUUCCAGCCCAUUCCCCAAUUUUCAACCCCAAUGACAGACAACACACGCUUGAAUGGCUGUUCAGCUAAAGAAGGGAAUUGGUUCCCAGGAAUGGCUUCCGUUGCACCGCAGCUGGCUUUUCAAAGAGGAGGGAAGACGCAGGAACAACAACAACAACAAAAAAAAAGAAAAAAAAGAAUGAACUCACAAGAGUUUCUUCACUGUUUUAGGGCGUGCAAUCACGAGCCAGUAGUGUUAACGCAUACUUCUUGACAGCCGCGACCCACAUUACCACAGCUACCCAAUAAGACGUGCCGUGUGAGAAAUAUUUGACGCUUUCAUUAAUCAUCAUUCCUAAAUGAUCACUCUGUGAGGGUAUGCAUUUAAGCGUGAUUAAUUGCAGAGCGAGCCUAAUCAAGCAAUGAAUUACCUGCCUAACCUUUUGCAGGAGGUUGGUGUUAACCUCAAGUCAAAGCAGUGGAACCCAGCGUGGUUAACUGUGUCAAGGAAAAUUAAGGAGAGACAAUAAUGAGAAUCAGUUAUAGACCCUGUUUUUAAAGAAAGGACACCCAUUGUGGUUAGGUAAUCUGAGACCUCAAAAGAAGUACUACGGCAUGAAAGAAAUACAUAUUUAGAGGUUUUCCCCCAAUAGAGGUCAAAUGUUGUGAAUAGAAUAGAUUACAUACACCCUACUGCUCUACAAACCUCAAUAUUUGUCAGUGUUUCAAGAUACAACAUGUUCUGAAUACGUGAACCACAACCCUGGCUUUGCUUCUCGAUUGCACAUACUGGUUUCAUAACUUUCAACCGCCUUUAUGUGUUGAUUCAUGAUUCCUGCUGUUGAACUCGGCAGAUAAGUUGAAGGAAGUUAUUUUGUCGCUUUUUUUUUCUCCAUAUCCAAUACUAUAUUCAAUGAUAUAUUCUCAUGUAUGAUUAAGUGCAGCAGGGUCGAUAAUUCUCCGUCAUCAUGCACUUGGCUCCUGUGUUCUGUCUAAGCAGAGCCCCACGAGACAAUACCCCAGUGUGUGCAGAUCAGGUGUUUACCUUAUAAGCACGAUGAAAGACUCUCUAACCAGUUGUGACAAUGGCAAAGUGAGAUAAUAGCCCACCGAGAUGAUUCAAGAGUGACUUGUGCAACCACCAAGCUUGUAUGGGGCAUUGCACACUCUAAAUGGUAUGCUUUUGAAGUCAGACAAACUGAAGGGUGUGGUCGACUUUGUCUGGUCCACUUCACUGUGCUUCAUUAUUGGCUCUCUGUUUAUGCUCAGAAUCAUAUAUAUUCCUGUGUUGGGCCGACUUUUUUUUAUUUUUUUUAUUCACGAUAUUCAAACACACAGAAUGUGACCAGAUCCUUGAAAAGAGAAUAAAUAUUGCAUUACAAUAUACCCCCAUCAUUUGACUCCUGCUUCAGAGUCAGUACUCAUUAGAGGCAAAUAUUUUGUUCACACACAAAUGAGGCCUUAAUAAUUGCACGAUUUUAUGCACAAUUCAAAUUCAAAUCAUUCCUUCUUGACACAGCCAAUACAUCUGUCAUGCGGCUCCUCGUUUUUUUGUUGAAUAAUUAAAAAAAGAAAUAGAGAAACAUACUAAUGAGAGAACCUUACUUGAGGGCUUUGCCGCUCCACUGACUAUCAUAUUAAUGUAUUCCUGUGUGAAUUAAACGCAUCAUCAAACACCUAAGUUCCUUCCAUAUUUUCCUCUGAAGACGAGGGCUGGACACCGGUGUCUACCUUGCCCUCUGCAAAAAUGAAGGGCAUUCUUCAUUAUUACACCUCUUGUGAUUACUUGUUAAUAGCCAUGUACUAAAGGUCCCUCUCCAAAUUGACAAAAACACUGGGAAUUUAGCUUUUUAUGAGAAUGACAUUGUUUCGGUCAAUGAUUAAGUCAUUAAGAUAUGUUAAGGUGAAUUUAAAGUGAUAUGUAGAUUUAUUGCACCCCACUAGCUUUGUCUUUCUCCAGUUUUUAGGUCUGUAAAUGUUUAAUAUUU